This 347-nucleotide unclassified non-coding RNA is filed under the name fungal sp. RNAcentral's name for it is "partial internal transcribed spacer region". The stretch from base 1 to 46 matches the Rfam family "Eukaryotic small subunit ribosomal RNA", at positions 1786 to 1831 of the family's 1831-position model. Lineage: Eukaryota; Fungi. The record is from RNAcentral.
AAGUCGUAACAAGGUUUCCGUAGGUGAACCUGCGGAAGGAUCAUCAUUGAAAAAAUAUAAUUUUGAUCUAUUCAAAAAAAAACAAACAAACAAAUUCCAGGCGAAGAAAAAAAAAUAUCUUUGUCUUGGUCGUGUUGGUUAAUGUUAUCCAGAAACCUGUGUGGCCUGAUUAAUCUAAAAUUGGGUUUUUGGAUGUUUCAAAAAAAACAUUUACUAAUGUGUGCUUCAGGCCGCAAAUACCAAACCUGUUAGUCAAAAGUGGGCGGCACUUUUGACCAAACAGUUUAAUACUCACAACAACCGACCACCCAAAAAACAACUUUCGGCAACGGAUCUCUCGGCUCACC